GAUGAAGAACGUAGCGAAAUGCGAUAAGUAGUGUGAAUUGCAGAAUUUAGUGAAUCAUCGAAUCUUUGAACGCACAUUGCGCCCUUUGGUAUUCCUUAGGGCAUGCCUGUUCGAGCGUCAUCUACACCCUCAAGCACAGCUUGGUGAUGGGCGCCUGUCCCGCCCCCCACGGGGGCGCGGACUCGCCUCAAAUGCAUUGGCGGCCGGCGACCUGGCUUCGAGCGCAGCAGAAACGCGUACUCGGGGACCGGGCGCCCGCUCCCAGAAGCCAUCCCACCCAGUUUGACCUCGGAUCAGGUAGGGAUACCCGCUGAACUUAAGCAUAUCAAUAAGCGGAGGA
RNAcentral lists this unclassified non-coding RNA (340 nucleotides) under soil metagenome. Its description in RNAcentral is "partial contains 5.8S ribosomal RNA, internal transcribed spacer 2, and large subunit ribosomal RNA". The stretch from base 1 to 120 matches the Rfam family "5.8S ribosomal RNA", at positions 35 to 154 of the family's 154-position model. The record is from RNAcentral.